CCUACGGGCGGCAGCAGUGGGGGAUAUUGCACAAUGGGGGGAACCCUGAUGCAGCGACGCCGCGUGGGUGAAGAAGCGCCUCGGCGCGUAAAGCCCUGUCAGCAGGGAAGAAAAUGACGGUACCUGAAGAAGAAGCCCCGGCUAACUACGUGCCAGCAGCCGCGGUAAUACGUAGGGGGCGAGCGUUAUCCGGAAUUACUGGGUGUAAAGGGAGCGUAGACGGCGAGGUAAGCCUGAAGUGGAAGCCCGCGGCCCAACCGCGGAACUGCUUUGGGAACUGUUUUUCUUGAGUACCGGAGAGGUCAUCGGAAUUCCUUGUGUAGCGGUGAAAUGCGUAGAUAUAAGGAAGAACACCAGUGGCGAAGGCGGAUGACUGGACGGCAACUGACGGUGAGGCGCGAAAGCGUGGGGAGCAAACAGGAUUAGAUACCCCUGUAGUC
RNAcentral lists this ribosomal RNA (440 nucleotides) under uncultured bacterium. RNAcentral describes it as "partial 16S ribosomal RNA". It matches the Rfam family "Bacterial small subunit ribosomal RNA", at positions 338 to 795 of the family's 1533-position model. The record is from RNAcentral.